This 251-nucleotide long non-coding RNA is filed under the name Linum usitatissimum (flax). Its description in RNAcentral is "long non-coding RNA (LUSI_LNC001003)". Lineage: Eukaryota; Viridiplantae; Streptophyta; Magnoliopsida; Malpighiales; Linaceae. The record is from RNAcentral.
GUACAGUGGUGUUGUUAUAGCUGAAGGUGUUCUGAGCAGUGACAGCAUUUUCCAUAACGACGGUACUAUUUAUGUUUGAUCUUAGAAUUUCUGAUGACAUUGAAAUUACUUUUUUUCUAUAACGAGGGACAUCCAAAUAACUCUUUUUCUGCCUUUUUCUCAUUUUCUUAUGCUCUUUUUUUUCUGGAGUUCAUGCCUUUCAAAUAUAUUUUUUCUGCCCUUUUCCCAUUUUGUUUCAGGACAUUCUUGGG